This 489-nucleotide ribosomal RNA is filed under the name uncultured bacterium. Its description in RNAcentral is "bacterial SSU rRNA". It matches the Rfam family "Bacterial small subunit ribosomal RNA", at positions 26 to 518 of the family's 1533-position model. The record is from RNAcentral.
AGGACGAACGCUGGCGGCGUGCCUAACACAUGCAAGUCGAACGGAGAGCAUAUGAAGUAUUCGGUACGGAAUGCGUUCUAGUGGCGAACGGGUGAGUAACACGUGGGCAACCUGCCCCAGACUGGGGGAUAACAUUGUGAAAACAGUGCUAAUACCGCAUGACAGGGUUCCGGGCAUCCGGGACUCUUGAAAGGAGAAAUCCGGUCAGGGAUGGGCCCGCGUCCAAUUAGCUAGUUGGUGGGUAACGGCCCACCAAGGCGACGAUUGGUAGCCGAACUGAGAGGUUGAUCGGCCACAUUGGGACUGAGACACGGCCCAGACUCCUACGGGAGGCAGCAGUGGGGAAUAUUGGGCAAUGGGCGAAAGCCCUGACCCAGCGACGCCGCGUGAGGGAUGAAGGUCUUCGGAUUGUAAACUUCUUUGAUCAGGGAAGAAAGAAAUGACGGUACCUGAAAAACAAGCCACGGCUAACUACGUGCCAGCCGCAGC